Long non-coding RNA from Pipra filicauda (Wire-tailed manakin), 628 nucleotides. RefSeq lists it as uncharacterized. The transcript is spliced from 4 exons. NCBI's taxonomy places the organism in Eukaryota, Metazoa, Chordata, Aves, Passeriformes, Pipridae. The record is from RefSeq and is a predicted model, not a curated record.
CUCCAAGAAAACCCACUGCAGCCAGCACUAAGGGGUACUGAAUUCCAUCAGGACUUCAAUCCAGGGCAUUACUGGGAAGCAUGAGCAUGAUGAGAAAUUGCUGUCUAACAGAUCCUUUGUGGACUUCCGACCAAAACCAUCCAGAGCAACAUAUGCUCCAGGUGUGGUGCUCGAUGGAUUGUUGAAGACCAAGAUUUCCUUUGUCGACCAGGAAUAAAAUCCAUAUUUCCCUCCAAUACAGAGAACAGUCAGAAGGAAAGGUGUAGCACACUUGACCAAAACCCAGAAUCAUCUGCACUAUGGGCAUCUCCCACUGCCUCAUUCAGGACCCCAGGCGCUGCAGACUUGUACAGCCUGAGGCAGUCCCAGCCAGGCAGGAGGUGGGCAGAGACAAGGGAACUGCCUUGCUAAAGGUCACAGAACAGAAGAAAACCAGCACCCUGAACCCCCCAAAGGCUCCAGACAAUUUGUCAAGCAGCCUCUCAUCCCAGUGUUAUCUCAGAGUUUGUCCCUGCAAAAUCUGUCGAGGACGUGAGCAACAGCAUUUUAAUGGUACCCAUGAAUACUUUAUUUAAGGCUGAGACUUGGUGACUACAGUACUAUCAUUAUCAGUGCCUGGAAUGUGCCA